RNAcentral lists this small RNA (3694 nucleotides) under Pongo abelii (Sumatran orangutan). RNAcentral describes it as "processed transcript". Lineage: Eukaryota; Metazoa; Chordata; Mammalia; Primates; Hominidae. The record is from RNAcentral.
CAGUGUUCACUCCUGUCGGCUGACUCCUUGAAUAACCACAGAGUAGCCAAUCAGAAACGAGCUUGGAAGGAGAGCGAGGGUGGGGAGCAGAAGCAUCCCAUCUGCUGCGAAGGAGACUGUUUUUUACGUGGAGAUAACCUCAGCUUGUCAUGUGCUGAGAGAGCAGAUGGCAGCCUUCGUCAUUAGCCGUUAACGCUUCAAGUGCCAAAUGCCAGGCCCAUAAAGUGCUCCCUUGGAAACAAACAAAAUUAUUAAACAAAGGUCUAUUCCUUGGACUCUGCUGACUCUUUCCAAAGCUUCUACAGUCCCCACAAGGCUCAGAUGAAGAAUCCUAUACUGGAGCGCCUGGCAGAGCAGAUCGCGACCCUGUGUGCCACCCUGAAGGAGUACCCGGCUGUGCGGUAUCGGGGGGAAUACAAGGACAAUGCCCUGCUGGCUCAGCUAAUCCAGGACAAGCUCGAUGCCUAUAAAGCUGAUGACCCAACAAUGGGGGAGGGCCCAGACAAGGCACGCUCCCAGCUCCUGAUCCUGGAUCGAGGCUUUGACCCCAGCUCCCCUGUGCUCCACGAAUUGACUUUUCAGGCUAUGAGUUAUGAUCUGCUGCCUAUCGAAAAUGAUGUAUACAAGUACGAGACCAGUGGCAUUGGGGAGGCACGGGUGAAGGAAGUGCUCCUGGACGAGGACGACGACCUGUGGAUAGCACUGCGCCACAAGCACAUCGCAGAGGUGUCCCAGGAAGUCACCCGGUCUCUGAAAGAUUUUUCUUCUAGCAAGAGAAUGAAUACUGGAGAGAAGACCACCAUGCGGGACCUGUCCCAGAUGCUGAAGAAGAUGCCUCAGUACCAGAAAGAACUCAGCAAGUACUCCACCCACCUGCACCUUGCUGAGGACUGUAUGAAGCAUUACCAAGGCACCGUAGACAAACUCUGCCGAGUGGAGCAGGACCUGGCCAUGGGCACAGAUGCUGAGGGAGAGAAGAUCAAGGACCCUAUGCGAGCCAUCGUCCCCAUUCUGCUGGACGCCAAUGUCAGCACUUACGACAAAAUCCGCAUCAUCCUUCUGUACAUCUUUUUAAAGAAUGGCAUCACAGAGGAAAACCUGAACAAACUGAUCCAGCAUGCCCAGAUACCCCCGGAGGAUAGUGAGAUCAUCACCAACAUGGCCCACCUCGGCGUGCCCAUCGUCACCGAUUCCACGCUGCGUCGCCGGAGCAAGCCAGAGCGGAAGGAGCGCAUCAGCGAGCAGACCUACCAGCUCUCACGGUGGACUCCGAUUAUCAAGGACAUCAUGGAGGACACUAUUGAGGACAAACUUGACACCAAACACUACCCUUAUAUCUCUACCCGUUCCUCUGCCUCCUUCAGUACCACCGCCGUCAGCGCCCGCUAUGGGCACUGGCAUAAGAACAAGGCCCCAGGCGAGUACCGCAGUGGCCCCCGCCUCAUCAUUUUCAUCCUUGGGGGUGUGAGCCUGAAUGAGAUGCGCUGCGCCUACGAGGUGACCCAGGCCAACGGAAAGUGGGAGGUGCUGAUAGGAUCCACGCACAUCCUCACCCCACAGAAACUGCUGGACACACUGAAGAAACUGAAUAAAACAGAUGAAGAAAUAAGCAGUUAAAAAAAAAGUCGCCCCUCCAAAACACGUCCCCAUCCCACAGCGCUCCGCAGCUUCCCACCACCGCCCGCCUCAGUUCCUUUGCGUCUGUUGCCUCCCCAGCCCUGCACGCCCUGGCUGGCACUGUUGCUGCUGCGUUCUCGUGUUCAGUGAUGCCCUCUUCUCGUUUGAAACAAAAGAAAAUAAUGCAUUGUGUUUUUUAAAAAGAGUAUCUUAUAUAUGUAUCCUAAAAAGAGAAGUUCACGUGCAAUUGGUGCACAGCAGGAGAAAUUUCUGGACUGUUAGGAUGAAUGGACGCCUUCUCCUCGUUAUUUAGGAUUUGUGACCUUGUACAUAACCCUGGGUGACAUGUGCACAUUGCUUGGGUAUGGAACGGUAGAAAUUUGGGUGUUUUUAAAACCUUGUUUGGGGUUGUUCCUGUCCUUGUUGAGAAUCACAGAGAUGUCUGUGUUCUUGGAGUAUUUCACACUGAGGACUAAUCUGUUAUCUUCAUUCCAGUCCCUACCCCUCAGUGCCUGCUCUCAUCCAAAUAACCUGGGAGGUGACAAUCGGGAUAUCUCAGGAGGUCCGAGGUGGAACAAACCUCUUUGCCUUUCCCAGAGUCUCAUACCCCCGGUAGUGCAGCUGUGGGUGGAGGCUGGGGUGUCUGCACGAAGCCAGGCCAGCGUCCUCCUCCACAGCCUGUCACUGCCCCCUCCCCAGCCUGUGUCCACAGUGCUGUGAUCCCGAGGGAAGUCCUCCAUUGUAAGUCACAGUGCCCUGACAGGUGAGAAGCAAACUCCCGCUGGAAGCCUCCAUUUCUUUGGAAAAACAGUUAGUCUGGAGCCUGUGGCCCAGGCCCUUCUGUCCCCAGGCAUCAUCCCAACAGCUCAUUUUCCCUAGUCAGCCUUCGUUCAAGGGUCAGGAAUGGACCAGAACAGAUGGGUUCUGGAGGCCCCUGAACAGAGGGCUAUGGCUGUGGAGAAGGUUCUUGGCCCGUUGGACUCACACAGACCCUGUACCCUCUCAGCAAGCAUCUUCAGUCAGAUUAUCCUCAGUUUCAGAUACUUCAUAAUACCUUGUGUCGUGUGGGGUCAUACAUCAUCGUGUUUGUAAGAGAAGAUGAUCAUUUUAUUCUCUGUAUAAAACUCAGCUCUAAAGCAGAAACUAAAGCAGCAAAUGCAGGAAGGCUGUCUCGCCAUCCUCAAGACUCAGCAGCUCUCAUUCUCCAGUGGUGAGCACACCAUUUGUGCUGCUGCUGUUGUGAAAUAUAAUAACAGUGGAAGUCACAAAAAUGUCCCCUGCCCAGCCCCCUCGCCGCCCUUGACCUCCUGCAGGCCAUGUGUGUAUUACUUGUCUAGUGAUGUCCUCUUAAAGUGCUGUACGCGAGCUCGGCGCCACCUCCGCCUCCCUUUCAGAGCCUGCUCCCCGCCCUCUCCGCUCGCUGCAUUGUGGUGUUCUCUUCUCAAAGCUUUGAAAUCUCCCCUUGCACUGAGAUUAGUCGUCGGAUCUCUCCCCGUCUCCCUCCCAACUUAUACGACCUGAUUUCCUUAGGACGGAACUGCAGGCACCUGCGCCGGGUGUCUUAUUCCCGCUGCUUGUUCUGUCCUCUCCCUCGGACCAAACAGUGCUCAUGCUUCAGGACCUUGUUUGUUGAAGAUGUUGGUUUCCCUUUCUCUGUUAUUUAUAUAAAAAUAAUUUAUCAAAAGGAUAUUUUAAAAAAGCUAGUCUGUCUUGAAACUUGUUUACCUUAAAAUUAUCAGAAUCUCAGUGUUUGAAAGUAUUGAAGCACAAACAUAUAUCAUCUCUGUACCAUUCUGUACUAAAGCACUUGAGUCUAAUAAAUAAAGAAAUCAGCACCCCUUCCCGGUGUCCAGGGGGCUCCAGUCUGGCUUUCCUUUGGGCAACGGAAGGAGAAAGCUUUCGCAGUGCUUCAUCGCAGAGGAGGCGGCCACCCCUGGCUGUGGCAUGGAGUCUUCUGGACCCAGGUCCCCGUUGCUUCCGUUAGAUCUGUAGCCGCCUCGCACUGGGGACUAGCCAUGGAGCUUGUCUUGGGCCCCUAGCAGCAACAGGGCGCUGCCUAGAGAUGAGGCCAUUCUUC